This 460-nucleotide ribosomal RNA is filed under the name uncultured bacterium. RNAcentral describes it as "bacterial SSU rRNA". It matches the Rfam family "Bacterial small subunit ribosomal RNA", at positions 56 to 527 of the family's 1533-position model. The record is from RNAcentral.
UGCAGUCGAACGCGAAAGCACCUUCGGGUGUUAGUAGAGUGGCGGACGGGUGAGUAAUGCUUGGGAAUCUGCCUAGUAGUGGGGGAUAACUCGAGGAAACUCGAGCUAAUACCGCAUACGCCCUACGGGGGAAAGAUUUAUCGCUAUUAGAUGAGCCCAAGUCAGAUUAGCUAGUUGGUAGGGUAAUGGCCUACCAAGGCGACGAUCUGUAGCUGGUCUGAGAGGACGAACAGCCACACUGGGACUGAGACACGGCCCAGACUCCUACGGGAGGCAGCAGUGGGGAAUAUUGGACAAUGGGCGCAAGCCUGAUCCAGCAAUGCCGCGUGUGUGAAGAAGGCCUGCGGGUUGUAAAGCACUUUCAGUGGGGAAGAAAAGCCUGGGGUGAAUACCCUCGGGUCUUGACGUUACCCACAGAAGAAGCACCGGCUAACUCCGUGCCAGCAGCCGCGGUAAUACG